RNAcentral lists this unclassified non-coding RNA (189 nucleotides) under uncultured fungus. Its description in RNAcentral is "sequence contains ITS1". Lineage: Eukaryota; Fungi. The record is from RNAcentral.
GUAUUUCGAAUUAUGUAUUCAAAAAAUUUCAGACAAAAAAUUUCAAUAAAGGGUUGGUAUUAUACUGCCAAGAACGCGCAAAAACGCGAACUCGUCAGCAAACAUUGCACACAAGGUGAAUACUGAUUUUUAAAGAGUGCCAUAAAACACUCAUUGUGAAUGAUCCUUCCGCAGGUUCACCUACGGAAA